This 63-nucleotide transfer RNA is filed under the name Myrmecocephalus concinnus. Its description in RNAcentral is "tRNA-Pro". Lineage: Eukaryota; Metazoa; Arthropoda; Insecta; Coleoptera; Staphylinidae. The record is from RNAcentral.
CAGAUAAUAGUUUAAAAAAAAUAUUAAUUUUGGAGAUUAAAGAUGAAAGAUUUUCUUAUCUGA